Molecule: small nucleolar RNA, 63 nt
Filed under: Euglena gracilis
Lineage: Eukaryota; Euglenozoa; Euglenophyceae; Euglenales; Euglenaceae
Description: Eg-m154 box C/D methylation-guide
Source: RNAcentral
CGGAGUGAUGUUUCCAUCUGUUCAUUGGAACACUGCAUACUGAUGUUUAUUUUUAUGCCUGAC